CCCUGAUGCAGCCAUGCCGCGUGUGUGAAGAAGGCCUUCGGGGUUGUAAAGCACUUUCAGUAGGGAGGAAGGUAGUGUAGUUAACACCUGCAUUAUUUGACGUUACCUACAGAAGAAGCACCGGCUAACUCCGUGCCAGCAGCCGCGGUAAUACGGAGGGGUGCGAGCGUUAAUCGGAAUUACUGGGCGUAAAGCGCAUGCAGGCGGCCUGUUAAGUCAGAUGUGAAAGCCCGGGGCUUAACCUCGGAAUUGCAUUUGAAACUGGCAGGCUAGAGUCUUGUAGAGGGGGGUAGGAAUUUCAGGUGUAGCGGUGAAAUGCGUAGAGAUCUGAAGGAAUACCAGUGGCGAAGGCGGCCCCCUGGACAAAGACUGACGCUCAGAUGCGAAAGCGUGGGGAGCAAACAGGAUUAGAUACCCUGGUAG
RNAcentral lists this ribosomal RNA (423 nucleotides) under uncultured bacterium. RNAcentral's name for it is "bacterial SSU rRNA". It matches the Rfam family "Bacterial small subunit ribosomal RNA", at positions 381 to 793 of the family's 1533-position model. The record is from RNAcentral.